GGUGAGUCGGGUCCUAAGGCGAGGCCGACAGGCGUAGUCGAAUGGAUGAACGGGUUGAUAUUCCCGUACCGGUUCGCAACCGUCCGAUCCGAGGCGUCAGGCCUCAUGGUCGGCUGGCGGCCGCCCGUCCCUUCGGGGGCGGCUGGUCCGCUUGCUUUUCCGUGAUGGCGGGCGUAGUAGGGUAGCAGAGGAGUGACGCAUGGGGGAUGCCGCGCGGCCUGGUGGUUAUGGUCGUGCAAGCAGGUAGGCCGCGGGAUAGGCAAAUCCGUCCCGCUUGAGGCUGAGAUGUGACGCCGCCGGCCCUUCUGGGGUCGGCGUGCGGCUGGUCCUCGUGCCGAGAAAAGCUUCGCUGCGAGGGUGCGGACCGCCCGUACCGCAAACCGACACUGGUGGUCAAGUAGAGUAUACUAAAGCGUUCGAGUGAAUCCUGGUCAAGGAACUCGGCAAAUUGCUCCCGUGCCUUCGGCAUAAGGGAGACCCCGGGGGGUGAAGCCACACGCUGGUGGAGCCUUCUGGGGUGGCACAGGCCAGGGGGUAGCGACUGUUUACCAAAAACACAGGUGCAUGCGAAGACGUAAGUCGCUGUAUAUGCACUGACGCCUGCCCGGUGCCGGAAGGUUAAGAGGAUCCGUCAACGCUUCGGCGCGAAGCGGUGAAUUCAAGCCCCGGUAAACGGCGGUGGUAACUAUAACCAUCCUAAGGUAGCGAAAUUCCUUGUCGGGUAAGUUCCGACCUGCACGAAUGGCGUAACGACUUCCCCGCUGUCUCGACCAGGAGCUCGGCGAAAUUGCAGUACGAGUAAAGAUGCUCGUUAAGCGCAGAAGGACGAAAAGACCCCGGGACCUUUACUAUACCUUGGUAUUGUCGUUCGCUGCUGGUUGUGUAGAAUAGGCGGGAGACCGUGAAGCGUGGACGCUAGUUCGUGCGGAGUCGCCAAGUGAAAUACCGUUCUGCUGGCAGUGGGCGUCUAACCUGGAACAGUCAUCCUGUUCAGGGACAGUGCCUGGCGGGUAGUUUAACUGGGGCGGUUGCCUCCUAAAGAGUAACGGAGGCGCUCAAAGGUUCCCUCAACCCGGUUGGCAAUCGGGUGGUGAGUGUAAUCGCACAAGGGAGCUUGACUGCGAGAGUGACGGCUCGAGCAGGGACGAAAGUCGGAGAUAGUGAUCCGGUGCCGGUGUACGGACGCGGCAUCGCUCAACGGAUAAAAGGUACCCCGGGGAUAACAGGCUGAUCAUUCC
RNAcentral lists this ribosomal RNA (1238 nucleotides) under human oral metagenome. RNAcentral describes it as "bacterial LSU rRNA". It matches the Rfam family "Bacterial large subunit ribosomal RNA", at positions 1378 to 2492 of the family's 2925-position model. The record is from RNAcentral.